RNAcentral lists this long non-coding RNA (373 nucleotides) under Glycine max (soybean). RNAcentral's name for it is "long non-coding RNA (GMAX_LNC000085)". Lineage: Eukaryota; Viridiplantae; Streptophyta; Magnoliopsida; Fabales; Fabaceae. The record is from RNAcentral.
UCUAAAUGAGCUUUGAAAUCUGAAGUUUAAUAUUCAAAUGAUCAAAGUUCAAAAAAAUGCACACACAUGACCUCUAUUUAUAGCCUAAGUGUCACACAAAAUUGGAGGGAAAUUCAAAUUUCACUUGAAUUUGAAAUUGAAUUUGUGGAGCCAAACUUUGGAGCCAAAAUUUCAAUAAUUAUGAUUAGUGAAUAUUAGUUAUGGUUCAGCCCACUAAUCCAAGAUCAAUUCCAAGAUUCUCCACUAAGUGUGCUUAGGUGUCAUGAGGCAUGAAAAGCAUGAAGGACAUGCACAAAGUGUGACUAUAUGAUGUGGCAAUGGGGUGUAGUAAGCAAAUGCUCACCUCCCCCUCUAAAAUUUAAUUGGAUUGGGC